This 1031-nucleotide ribosomal RNA is filed under the name Morenoina calamicola. RNAcentral's name for it is "SSU rRNA". It matches the Rfam family "Eukaryotic small subunit ribosomal RNA", at positions 71 to 1110 of the family's 1831-position model. Lineage: Eukaryota; Fungi; Ascomycota; Dothideomycetes; Asterinales; Morenoinaceae. The record is from RNAcentral.
GCACUAUACGGUGAAACUGCGAAUGGCUCAUUAAAUCAGUUAUCGUUUAUUUGAUAGUACCUUACUACUUGGAUAACCGUGGUAAUUCUAGAGCUAAUACAUGCUAAAAACCCCGACUUCGGAAGGGGUGUAUUUAUUAGAUAAAAAACCAGCGCCCUUCGGGGCUCCUUGGUGAUUCAUAAUAACUAAACGAAUCGCAUGGCCUUGCGCCGGCGAUGGUUCAUUCAAAUUUCUGCCCUAUCAACUUUCGAUGGUAGGAUAGUGGCCUACCAUGGUAUCAACGGGUAACGGGGAAUUAGGGUUCUAUUCCGGAGAGGGAGCCUGAGAAACGGCUACCACAUCCAAGGAAGGCAGCAGGCGCGCAAAUUACCCAAUCCCGACACGGGGAGGUAGUGACAAUAAAUACUGAUACAGGGCUCUUUUGGGUCUUGUAAUUGGAAUGAGUACAAUUUAAAUCCCUUAACGAGGAACAAUUGGAGGGCAAGUCUGGUGCCAGCAGCCGCGGUAAUUCCAGCUCCAAUAGCGUAUAUUAAAGUUGUUGCAGUUAAAAAGCUCGUAGUUGAACCUUGGGCCUGGCUGGCCGGUCCGCCUCACCGCGUGUACUGGUCCGGCCGGGCCUUUCCUUCUGGGGAGCCGCAUGCCCUUCACUGGGCGUGUUGGGGAACCAGGACUUUUACUUUGAAAAAAUUAGAGUGUUCAAAGCAGGCCUUUGCUCGAAUACAUUAGCAUGGAAUAAUAGAAUAGGACGUGCGGUUCUAUUUUGUUGGUUUCUAGGACCGCCGUAAUGAUUAAUAGGGAUAGUCGGGGGCAUCAGUAUUCAAUUGUCAGAGGUGAAAUUCUUGGAUUUAUUGAAGACUAACUACUGCGAAAGCAUUUGCCAAGGAUGUUUUCAUUAAUCAGUGAACGAAAGUUAGGGGAUCGAAGACGAUCAGAUACCGUCGUAGUCUUAACCAUAAACUAUGCCGACUAGGGAUCGGGCGAUGUUAUCAUUUUGACUCGCUCGGCACCUUACGAGAAAUCAAAGUCUUUGG